AGAGUUUGAUUAUGGCUCAGGAUGAACGCUGGCGGCGUGCUUAAUACAUGCAAGUCGAACGGAGUUAAAUGAAACCUAGUGAUUUAAACUUAGUGGCGGACGGGUGAGUAACGCGUGGGUAACCUGCCCUGUACAGGGGGAUAACGGCUGGAAACGGCCGCUAAAACCGCAUAACAUCGGAAUACCGCAUGAUGUUCCGGUCAAAUAUUUAUAGGUACAGGAUGGGCCCGCGUCUGAUUAGCUAGAUGGUGAGGUAACGGCCCACCAUGGCGACGAUCAGUAGCCGUACUGAGAGGUAGAACGGCCACAUUGGGACUGAGACACGGCCCAAACUCCUACGGGAGGCAGCAGUAGGGAAUAUUGGUCAAUGGGGGAAACCCUGAAACCCAGCGACGCCGCGUGAGUGAAGAAGUAUUUCGGUAUGUAAAGCUCUAUCAGCAGGGACGAUAAUGACGGUACCUGACUAAGAAGCCCCGGCUAACUACGUGCCAGCCGCCGC
This 499-nucleotide ribosomal RNA is filed under the name uncultured bacterium. RNAcentral's name for it is "bacterial SSU rRNA". It matches the Rfam family "Bacterial small subunit ribosomal RNA", at positions 8 to 518 of the family's 1533-position model. The record is from RNAcentral.